RNAcentral lists this ribosomal RNA (484 nucleotides) under uncultured bacterium. Its description in RNAcentral is "partial 16S ribosomal RNA". It matches the Rfam family "Bacterial small subunit ribosomal RNA", at positions 30 to 507 of the family's 1533-position model. The record is from RNAcentral.
AUUGAACGCUGGCGGAAUGCUUUACACAUGCAAGUCGAACGGCAGCACGGGGGCAGCCCUGGUGGCGAGUGGCGAACGGGUGAGUAAUACAUCGGAACGUGCCCGGUCGUGGGGGAUAACGUAGCGAAAGUUACGCUAAUACCGCAUACGAUCUGCGGAUGAAAGCGGGGGACCUUCGGGCCUCGCGCGAUCGGAGCGGCCGAUGUCAGAUUAGGUAGUUGGUGGGGUAAAGGCCUACCAAGCCGACGAUCUGUAGCAGGUCUGAGAGGACGACCAGCCACACUGGGACUGAGACACGGCCCAGACUCCUACGGGAGGCAGCAGUGGGGAAUUUUGGACAAUGGGCGCAAGCCUGAUCCAGCCAUUCCGCGUGCAGGACGAAGGCCUUCGGGUUGUAAACUGCUUUUGUACGGAACGAAAAGGCUCUGGCUAAUACCUGGGGCUCAUGACGGUACCGUAAGAAUAAGCACCGGCUAACUACGUG